UGAUUCUCUAUCGGAAUC
Molecule: unclassified non-coding RNA, 18 nt
Filed under: synthetic construct
Source: RNAcentral